ACGGGUGUGUGGGCCUAGCUCAGAAUCCAUUUCUUGCCUUUUACCAGAGAUGGCCGUGGGCCACGCAAAAUACCCUACUUUUCAAUCUUUGGAAUACUCCUAUCGACAUAGUCG
This is a non-coding RNA of Aspergillus sydowii CBS 593.65, 114 nucleotides long. The record is from Rfam. Lineage: Eukaryota; Fungi; Ascomycota; Eurotiomycetes; Eurotiales; Aspergillaceae.